UUAAAAUAUGAUUUAAAAUUUGGGUUUUCCCGAUUGGUUUGAUGGCUGAUAUGUUGGCUACAAAUGUAUUAGCUCUAUCUGAACUCUUAU
Small nucleolar RNA from Zingiber officinale, 90 nucleotides. RefSeq annotates it as small nucleolar RNA Z102/R77. The record is from RefSeq and is a predicted model, not a curated record. The transcript has a single exon. Lineage: Eukaryota; Viridiplantae; Streptophyta; Magnoliopsida; Zingiberales; Zingiberaceae.